Molecule: transfer RNA, 69 nt
Filed under: Ictidomys tridecemlineatus (thirteen-lined ground squirrel)
Lineage: Eukaryota; Metazoa; Chordata; Mammalia; Rodentia; Sciuridae
Also listed under: 1 other name
Description: Spermophilus tridecemlineatus (thirteen-lined ground squirrel) tRNA
Rfam family: tRNA
About the family: Transfer RNA (tRNA) molecules are approximately 80 nucleotides in length.
Source: Rfam by way of RNAcentral
GGGGUUGUAGCUCAGUGGUAGAGCUCUUGUCUAGUACUUGUGAGGCCCUGGGUUCGAUCCUCAGCACCA